UAAUUGGAGAGUUUGAUCCUGGCUCAGAAUCAACGCUGGCGGCGUGCCUAACACAUGCAAGUCGAACGAGAAAGUGGGGCUUGCUCCACGAGUAAAGUGGCAAACGGGUGAGUAACACGUGAACAACCUACCCUCGAGUGGGGAAUAACACCGCGAAAGCGGUGCUAAUACCGCAUAACAUCCCGGGGUCGCAUGGUCCUGGGAUCAAAAGCGCAAGUUGCUUGAGGAGGGGUUCACGGCUGAUUAGCUAGUUGGUGAGGUAACGGCCCACCAAGGCAACGAUCAGUAGCCGGCCUGAGAGGGCGAACGGCCACACUGGAACUGAG
Molecule: ribosomal RNA, 326 nt
Filed under: Acidobacteriota bacterium
Lineage: Bacteria; Pseudomonadati; Acidobacteriota
Description: bacterial SSU rRNA
Rfam family: Bacterial small subunit ribosomal RNA
Source: RNAcentral